GCUAAGACUGGAUAGGAAACAAAAAGGCAUCUUUUUGUUUUUAAAAGACCUUCUUACGAAGGUAUGCUUAAAGAGGGGCUUGCGCCACAUUAGUUAGUUGGUAGGGUAAAAGCCUACCAAGACGAUGAUGUGUAGCUGGACUGAGAGGUUGAACAGCCACAUUGGGACUGAGACACGGCCCAAACUCCUACGGGAGGCAGCAGUAGGGAAUUUUCGGCAAUGGAGGAAACUCUGACCGAGCAACGCCGCGUGAACGAUGAAGUAUUUCGGUAUGUAAAGUUCUUUUAUUGAAGAAGAAAAAGUAGUGGAAAAACUAUAUUGACGUUAUUCAAUGAAUAAGCCCCGGCUAACUAUGUGCCAGCAGCCGCGGUAAGACAUAGGGGGCGAGCGUUAUCCGGAAUUAUUGGGCGUAAAGGGUGCGUAGGCUGUUAGAUAAGUCUAUAAUUUAAUUUCAGUGCUUAACGCUGUCUUGUUAUAGAAACUGUCUUGACUAGAGUGAGAUAGAGGCAAGCGGAAUUCCAUGUGUAGCGGUAAAAUGUGUAAAUAUAUGGAGGAACACCAGAAGCGUAGGCGGCUUGCUGGGUCUUUACUGACGCUGAGGCACGAAAGCGUGGGUAGCAAACAGGAUUAGAUACCCUGGUAGUCCACGCCGUAAACGAUGAGUACUAAGUGUCGGGGUAAAACUCGGUACUGAAGUUAACACAUUAAGUACUCCGCCUGAGUAGUACGUACGCAAGUAUGAAACUUAAAGGAAUUGACGGGACUCCGCACAAGCGGUGGAUCAUGUUGUUUAAUUCGAAGAUACACGAAAAAUCUUACCAGGUCUUGACAUACUCUGCAAAGCUAUAGAAAUAUAGUGGAGGUUAUCAGGGAUACAGGUGGUGCAUGGUUGUCGUCAGUUCGUGUCGUGAGAUGUUAGGUUAAGUCCUAAAACGAGCGCAACCCUUGUCGUUAAUUGCCAGCACGUAAUGGUGGGGACUUUAGCGAGACUGCCAAUUAAACAUUGGAGGAAGGUGAGGAUUACGUCAAAUCAUCAUGCCCCUUAUGAUCUGGGCUACAAACGUGAUACAAUGGCUGUGACAAAGAGUAGCUGAAACGCGAGUUUUUAGCCAAUCUCAAAAAAGCAGUCUCAGUUCGGAUUGAAGUCUGUAACUCGACUUCAUGAAGUUGGAAUCGCUAGUAAUCGCGAAUCAGCAUGUCGCGGUGAAUACGUUCUCGGGGUUUGUACACACCGCCCGUCAAA
RNAcentral lists this ribosomal RNA (1243 nucleotides) under Candidatus Phytoplasma trifolii. RNAcentral's name for it is "bacterial SSU rRNA". It matches the Rfam family "Bacterial small subunit ribosomal RNA", at positions 162 to 1401 of the family's 1533-position model. The record is from RNAcentral. Lineage: Bacteria; Bacillati; Mycoplasmatota; Mollicutes; Acholeplasmatales; Acholeplasmataceae.